Transfer RNA from Stagonospora sp., 110 nucleotides. It matches the Rfam family "tRNA". Rfam says of the family: Transfer RNA (tRNA) molecules are approximately 80 nucleotides in length. Their secondary structure includes four short double-helical elements and three loops (D, anti-codon, and T loops). Lineage: Eukaryota; Fungi; Ascomycota; Dothideomycetes; Pleosporales; Massarinaceae. The record is from Rfam.
GACAAGUUGGCCGAGUGGUUAUGGCGUGUGACUCAAGCGCAAGCUUACCAGUGCAUACUGGCGCAUUCUCAUGGGCUUUGCCCGCGUGGGUUCGAAUCCCACACUUGUCA